GUCUACGGCCAUGCCACCCUGAAUGAGCCCGAUCCCGUCUGAUCUCGGAAGCUAAGCAGGGUUGGGCCUGGUUAGUACUUGGAUGGGAGACCACCUAGGAAGUCCAGGUGCUGUAGGUG
Non-coding RNA from Pteropus alecto (black flying fox), 119 nucleotides. Lineage: Eukaryota; Metazoa; Chordata; Mammalia; Chiroptera; Pteropodidae. The record is from Rfam.